GCCGUGCUCUCGAACCUUCGUGAACGUCUCUGCCCUGCCUCCGGAGCAGACGACCGCAGGUUCGAAUCCUGCCCGGGGGCACCA
Molecule: transfer RNA, 84 nt
Filed under: Mycobacterium simiae
Lineage: Bacteria; Bacillati; Actinomycetota; Actinomycetes; Mycobacteriales; Mycobacteriaceae
Description: tRNA-Arg
Source: RNAcentral